This 279-nucleotide ribosomal RNA is filed under the name uncultured bacterium. RNAcentral describes it as "partial 16S ribosomal RNA". It matches the Rfam family "Bacterial small subunit ribosomal RNA", at positions 506 to 784 of the family's 1533-position model. The record is from RNAcentral.
UGCCAGCCGCCGCGGUAAUACGGAGGGUGCAAGCGUUGUUCGGAAUUAUUGGGCGUAAAGCGCACGUAGGCGGACUGGAAAGUUGGGGGUGAAAUCCCAGGGCUCAACCCUGGAAGUGCAUUGGAUACUGGCAGUCUUGAGUAUGGGAGAGGAAAGUGGAAUUCCGAGUGUAGGAGUGAAAUCCGUAGAUAUUCGGAGGAACACCAGUGGCGAAGGCGGCUUUCUGGACCAAUACUGACGCUGAGAUGCGAAAGCGUGGGGAGCGAACAGGAUUAGAUA